This 282-nucleotide long non-coding RNA is filed under the name Bos taurus (domestic cattle). RNAcentral's name for it is "long non-coding RNA NONBTAT025977". Lineage: Eukaryota; Metazoa; Chordata; Mammalia; Artiodactyla; Bovidae. The record is from RNAcentral.
UUUUCUUCUUAAACUCAUUAAGGGGGUGACUAGUGAUUACUAGCAUUGGUGUGUCUUAGUUACCAAAUGAUUCCUCACCUCUCUCUAGGUAGUCAUUUAUGUACAGUAGGAAGGUUCCCCAGAAAGAGGAAGUUAUUUUUGGGUGGUCCAUGCCUAUUUUUAAGCAGCCUCCCUUUAAGAUACUAAGUGGCAUUUAGAAAUAUCUGACUUCCACCUAGGCUUUCUACACCUCUUUCAGUGAUGAAUUUGUAUAUCCAUAAUUAGUUACUUAAAGGGAUCUGC